AAAUAUUACUCCUUGCGCUAGCACGUCGUCCCUGCACUUCCCUUUCAGCUUUACAAGCAAGAUGAAACAAACAGGUUACAUUAUUGUAUUCUUUGUAAGCGAGGAUGUGACAAACGGGUUACAUUAUUGUAUUCUUUGUGCUGGUCCUAGGCUAGACCGUGCUAGAGACGCGAGCCUGGACACAAAGGAAAACCACAUCACACCCCCGAAAACAAGGUGGAAGAAACCUAAAAUCAAUAUGAAAAACAGCCCCUUUUUUUUCUUUUGAAUCUUUUCUCUUUUCUUUUUUUUUCUUUUUUUUGGGCAACCUCAAAAACUGAUUAUAUGAACAAAGGAAUACAAAAGAGCAAUUCGCUACACACACACACUCUCUCUCUCUCUCUCUAGAGUAAGGCCGAACAAGUAUGGAGUUAUCUUUCUUUUUGGAUCACAGUUCAAUUCGGACUUCACAACAGAUUCGACAGAGAGAAGAUAUGGUAAUACUCGGCUGUGUAUAGAUGGUGACAAGAACUCGAAACUCUAAAGGACUAGACACUAAGACCAGCAACUCGACACAAACCGAAGCAACGCAAAUUCAACAAGCCCUAACUAAAACGGUACUAGCCAAGGCACAAAGGUUUAAUAGGAUUAUGUAAAAACUAAUCUACUAUAUUUUUUUUUGGCUUUUCUGGACUAUAGGAAAUUAAUUAAAACAGCAAAGGAUUAGAAGUCUCUCACCGAAGAACCUUGCUCUGAUUACCAACUGAUGCGAACCCGCUAGGGUUUUUGGCCUGAUCUUUCGAUUAGAGGCGCUAGAUAACUCGAUUAGUGGAUGGAGAUGACGUUCACGGCCUGACUACAGCCCUCAAGACCGCGCCUUAGCAACCGAUACACCACGUCCAACAGCCGUCACGAUCUUGUGGAGCGCGACAACCAGCCCCUAGGGCUCCCGUCCUGCAAGCAAUCGAAGAACUAGCAAGAACGAGGAAACAAGCACUAAAUUUGCAAGAUGAAUUGAAGGUUUCAAACUGAAUCUCAAUCAACAAUGGGGUUCCGAAGACAAGGAGACAGGCGGCUGAUCCUGCACGCGCGCCUACAAGCAAGUAGCGAAGGCUAAACUUGAUCUAAACAAAACCCAGUUGUUCAUGGCGGCUCUAGAUGUAAAUAAAUAGAGGGGAGGGCGACCAAAGGGGUGCUAGAGUCAUCCUCCAACCCUAGGACGCGUCCCUAAUGGACUCAACUUGAUACAUGGGCCAUUGGUCCAAAAUAGGGUGACGCAGCACCAAAACAGAAAAAGAUGUCGGUACAAAAACAAGGACUGCGCCCGACUCAUAAGCUGCAUAGAUAUGUGGUUGGACCCAUUGGAAAGUAGAUUUCAUGAGCUUUCCAACAAGUAUAGGAACGUCCCAGUUGGAGUCCAUAUGACACCGUGGUGAUCCAUACAAGUUAGAGUUAUUUUCCAGUCCGAAUCCAACUCCCAAAACGUGUUGGGUUUGGACUCUUUGUUUCCUUGCUUUAGAAGCGACGUGGUAACUUGAUAGAGGAUGUUGUGGAGGCUUGGACCUGAUCUCCAAUCACCUUUGUUAUGUUAUCACUCUUCCCAUAUGCAAUCAGCCCUUGAAGUUGGUGUUGCCUCAAAUUCUGAAUGCAGUUGAACCUUCCCUUGCUGAUCUUGUCCAUUAUUCCUGAGCAACACGAAAGUGCACGUGUCUCUAUUGUCUAAAUAUGAUUGACAAGAGUUUAAAACUGAACUUACUUGAAGGUUGAGUUGACGGGCACGAGCAAGAGUAAGAGGACCAGCUAUAGGUUGUGUCGGAGAGGAUGUAGGACCAGCUAUAGGUUGUGUCGGAGAGGAUGUAUCGCUGGUGUUGAUGUCCUCAUCAACUGUGCACCUAUCUUGCACCGAAACUAACACUGUCUCUAAACGGACCGAAGUGAGAUUCCAUAUGACACAUGUCAUUUAGGAGUUCCAUGUGGUGCGUCCAAAUUGAUUUCUGAGCAUAUGGAAUGUUCCAUGCAAAUCGUGCACCUAUCUUGCAUCAAGAAUAGCAUUAUCUCUAAACAGACCGAACCGAGCCUCCACUUGAGCCUCUUCUCCUAGGAGUACCAACAGGUGCUUCCAAAAUGGUUUCUUAGACUUCGGUGCAUUAGGCGCAAACCGUGCACAUAUCUUGCACCGAAGCUAAUAAUGUCUCUAAGCACACCAAACAGAGAUUCCAUACGACACACGUCAUCAAGCAUAUGGUAUGUUACAUGCAAAUCAUGCACCUAUCUUGCAUCAAGAUUAGCACUAUCUCCAAAUAGAUAAAACCAAGCUUCCACUUGAGCCUCUUCACCAAAGAUCCAACAGGUGCUUCCAAAAUGGUUUCUUAGACUAUGGGGUAUUACGCGCAAACCAUGCACAUAUCUUGCACCGAAACGAACACUGUUUCUAGACAGACCAAAGUGAGAUUCCAUAUGACACAUGUCAUCAAGGAGUUCCGUCGGGUGCAUCCAAAUUGAUUUCCAAGCAUAUGGUAUGUUCCAUGAGAACCGUGCACCUAUCUGGCAUCAAAAUUAGCACUAUCUCCAAACAGACCGAACCGAGCUUCCACUUGAGCCUCUUCAUCUAGGAGUACAAACAGGUGCAUCAAAAAUGGUUUCUUAGACUAUGGUGUAUUAGGCACAAACUAUGCACCUAUCUUGCACCAAAACUAACAUUGUCUCCAAACAGACCGAAGCGAGAUUCCAUAUGAUACACAUCAUCUAGGAGUUCCAUUGGGUGCGUCCAAAUUAAUUUCUUAACAUAUGGUAUAUUCCAUGCAAACUGUGGAACUAUCUUGCAUCAAGAUUAGCACUAUAUCCGAACAGACCAAAUCGGCUAUGAGUACCAUCGGGUGCGUCUAAAAUGGUUUCUUAGCCUAUGGUGCAUUAGGCGUAAACUAUGCACAUAUCUUGCACCGAAAUGAACACUGUUUCUAAACGAACCAAAUCAAGAUUCCAUAUGACACAUGUCAUCAUGGAGUUCCGUCGUGUGCAUCCAAAUUGAUUUCCAAGCAUACGGUAUGUUUCAUGCAAACCGUGCACCUAUUUUGCAUCAAGAUUAGCACUAUCUCCAAACAGACCGAACCGAGCUUCCAGCUGAGCCUCUUCAUCUAGGAGUACCAUCGGGUGCGUCCAAAAUGGUUUCUUAUUAUAUGGUGCAUUAGGUGCAAACCGUGCACUUAUCUUGCACCAAAACUAACACUGUCUCUAAACAGACCAAAGUGAGAUUCCAUAUGACAAAUAUCAUCUAGGAGUUCCAUCUGGUGCGUCCAAAUUGAUUUCUAAGCAUAUGGUAUGUUCCAUGCAAAUCAUGCACCUAUCUUGCAUCAAGAUUAGCACUAUCUCCAAACAGAUCGAACCGAGCAUCCACUUGAGCCCCUUCACCUAGGAGUACCAACAAGUGCGUCCAAAUGGUUUCUUAGACUAUGGUGCAUUAGGUGCAAACUGUGCACCUAUCUUGCACCGAAACUAACAAUGUCUCCAAAUGACAGAAGCGAGAUUUCAUAUGACACACAUCAUCAAGGACUUCUAUCGGGUGCAUCCAAAUUCAUUUCCAAGCAUAUGGUAUGUUCCAUGCAAACCAUGCACCUACCUUGCAUAAGGAUUAGCACUAUCUCCAAACUGACCGAACCAAGCUUCCACUUGAGCCUCUUCACCUAGGAGUACCAAACAGUGUGUCCAAAUUGGUUUCUUAGACUAUGGUGAAUUAGGUGCAAACUGUGCACCUAUCUUGCACUAAAACCUACAAUGUCUACAAACAGACCGAGCCAAGAUUCCAUACGACACACGUCAUCUAGGAGUUCCAUUGGGUGUGUCCAAAUUGAUUUCUAAGCAUAUGGUAUGUUCCUUGUAAAUCAUGCACCUAUCUUGCAUCAAGAUUAGCACUAUCUCCAAACAGAUCAAACCGAGCUUCCACUUGAGUCUCUUCAUCGAAGUACCAACAGGUGCUUUGAAAAUGGUUUUUAGACUAUGGUGCAUUAUUCAAAAACCAUGCACAUAUCUUGCACCGAAACUAACACUGUUUCUAAACAGACCAAAGCGAGAUUCCAUAUGACACAUGUCAUCAAGGAGUUCUAUCGGGUGCAUCCAUAUUGAUUUCCAAGCAUAUGGUAUGUUCCAUGCAAACUGUGUACUUAUCUUGCAUCAAGAUUAGCACUAUCUCUAGACAGACCGAACCGAGCUUCCACUUGAGCCUCUUUUAUCUCGGAGUACAAAAAGGGGCGUCAAAAAUAGUUUUUUAGACUAUGGUGCAUUAGGCACAAACUAUGCACCUAUCUUGCCCCGAAACUAACAUUGUCUCCAAACAGACCGAAGCGAGAUUCCAUAUGACACACGUCAUCUAGGAGUUCCAUUGGGUGCGACCAAAUUAAUUUCAUAACAUAUGGUACGUUCCAUGCAAACUGUGCAACUAUCUUGCAUCAAGAUUAGCACUAUAUCUGAGUAGACCAAAUCGAGCCUCCACUUGAGCCUUUUCAACUACGAGUACCAUCGGGUGGGUCUAAAAUAGUUUCUUAGCCUAUGGUGCAUUAGGCGUAAACUAUGCACAUAUCUUCUACCAAAACUAACACUGUCUCUAAACGAACCAAAUCAAGAUUCCAUAUGACACACAUCAUCAAGGAGUUAUAUCAGGUGAGUCCUAAUUGAUUUCUAAGCAUACCGUAUGUUCCAUGCAAACCGUGCAUCUAUCUUGCAUCAAACCGAGCUUUCACUUGAGCCCCUUUACAUAGGAGUACCAUCGGGUGUGUCCAAAAUGGUUUUUUAUCCUAUGGUGCAUUAGGUGCAAACUGUGCACCUAUCUUGCACCGAAACUAACACUAUCUCUAAACAGACCGAAGUGAGAUUCCAUAUGACACAUGUCAUCUAGGAGUUCCAUCUGGUGCGUCCAAAUUGAUUUCUGAGCAUAUGGUAUGUUCCAUGCAAAUCGUGCACCUAUCUUGCAUCAAGAAUAGCACUAUCUCUAAACAGACCAAAUCGAGCCUCCACUUGAGCCUCUUCACCUACGAGUACCAACAGGUGCUUCCAAAAUGGUUUCUUAGACUUUGGUGCAUUAGGCGCAAACCGUGCACAUAUCUUGACCCGAAACUAGUAAUGUCUCUAAGCACACCAAAGAGAGAUUCCAUAUGACACACGUCAUCAAGCAUAUGGGUUGUUCCUUGCAAAUCAUGCACCUAUCUUGUAUCAAGAUUAGCACUAUCUCCAAACAGAUAAAACCAAGCUUCCACCUGAGCCUCUUCACCAAAGAUCCAACAGGUGCUUCCAAAAUGGUUUCUUAGACUAUGGUGCAUUAGGCGCAAACCAUGCACAUAUCUUGCACUGAAAGAAACACUGUUUCUAGACACACCAAAGUGAGAUGCCAUAUGACACAUGUCAUCAAGGAGUUCCGUCGGGUGCAUCCAAAUUGAUUUCCAAGCAUAUGUUAUGUUCCAUGCAAACCGUGCACCUAUCUUGCAUCAAGAUUAGCAUUAUCUCCAAACAGACCGAACCGAGCAUCCACUUGAGCCUCUUCAUCUAGGAGUACAAACAAGUGCAUCAAAAAUGGUUUCUUAGACUAUGGUGCAUUAGGCACAAACUAUGCACCUAUCUUGCCCCGAAACUAACAUUGUCUCCAAACAGACCGAAGCGAGAUUCCAUAUGACACACGUCAUCUAGGAGUUCCAUUGGGUGCGUCCAAAUUAAUUUCAUAACAUAUGAUACGUUCCAUGCAAACUGUGCAACUAUCUUGCAUCAAGAUUAGCACUAUAUCCGAGCAGACCAAAUCGAGCCUCCACUUGAGCCUCUUCAACUACGAGUACCAUCGGGUGCGUCUAAAAUAGUUUCUUAGCCUAUGGUGCAUUAGGCGUAAACCGUGCACAUAUCUUCUACCAAAACUAACACUGUCUCUAAACGAACCGAAGCAAGAUUCCAUAUGACACACUGAAAUCCCAAGUUUGUGAUGCGAACCCGCUAGGGUUUUUUGCUCGAUCUUUUGAUGAUAGACGGGGAUAACUCGAUUGGUGAAUGGAGAUGACGUUCACGGCCCGACUACAGCCCUCAAGACCGCGCCUUAGCAACCGAUACACCACGUCCAAUAGCCGUCACGAUCUUGUGGAGCGCGACAACCAGCCCCUAGGGCUCCCGUCCUGCAAGCAAUCGAAGAACUAGCAAGAACGAGGAAACAAGCACUGAAUUUGCAAGAUGAAUUGAAGGUUUCAAAUUGAAUCUGAAUCAACAAUGGGGUUCCGAAGACAAGGAGACGGGCGGCUGAUCCUGCACGCGCGCCUACAAGCAAGUAGCGAAGGCUAAACUUGAUCUAAACAAAACCCAACCACCAUGGCGGCUCUAGAGGGAUAUAAGUAAAUGGAUUGAUGACCAAAGAGGUGUUGGGGUCGUCCUCCAACCCUAGGACGCAUCUCUAAUGGACCCAACUUGAUACAUGGGCCAUCUGCCCAAAAUGAGGUGACGCAGCACCCUGGACAGCAAGACCUAUCGACAGUAAUUGGAUCAUUGCCGCUGCUGCCGAACAGGUAUUGACGUGGGACUUGAUUCAUAUGAAAGAAGACUUGAUAAGCUUUCCAACAAGUCCUGAAGCGCCUGAAUCCGAAUCCGUAUGCAACUGUGGUAACGGUCACAAGUUGGCGCUUUGCUGCUGUCCGAAUCCAGCGAGCGUGAGUCCUUCUCCCUUUCGGUCUUCUCCUUGGUUCCUAAUCAAAACAAGAGUGCACGUGUUUCCAUUGUCUAAACAAGAUGGACACAAGCUUAUCAAGGAACUCACUUGAUUAUUAAGUUGACGAACACGAGCACGAGUAAGAGGACCAGCUAUAGGUUGUGUCGGAGAGGAUGUAUCGCUGGUGUUGAUGUCCUCAUCAUCCUCCCUUUCUUGCAUUUGAGUCGUCCUCGACUCAAGUUCAUCUUCCUCACCCAAAUAAGGCUUCAAAUGUGCAAUGUUAAAUGUGGGACUAACCCCAAAAUCUGCAGGAAGAUCAAGCUUAUAUGCAUUCUCAUUAAUUUGGACCAUCAGCUCUAGGCAUCAAUUUGGAUUUUCUUAGUUCUGGAAAUCUAUCUUUUCGCAAAUGCAACCAAACCAAAUCCCCAGGUUCCAGAAUCAAUUGCUUUCUACCUUUAUCUCCAGCGCAUUUAUACUUAGCAUUCAUGCGCUCUAUGUUUUGUUUAGUGGCUUCAUGCAAUUGUAACAUCAAAUCAGCACGUUGCUUAGCAUCAAAAUUUAUUUUUUUAGAACUUGGCAAAGGCACUAAAUCAAUAGGAGCACGUGGCAAGAAGCCAUAGACAAUCUCAAAAGGACACAUUUUUGUAGUAGAAUGCAAUGAACGAUUAUAGGCGAACUCAAUAUGAGGCAAACAUUCUUCCCACAUCUUAAUAUUCUUCUUUAAAACAGCCCUUAACAUAGUGGAUAAAGUUCUAUUAACAACUUCAGUUUGACCAUCAGUUUGGAGAUGACAAGUGGUGGAAAAUAAAAGCUUAGUCCCCAAUUUGAACCACAAAGUCUUCCAAAAAUGACUAAGAAAUUUAGCAUCACGAUCAGAAACAAUUGUGUUGGGCACACCAUGUAAGCGAACAAUUUCUCGAAAGAACAAAUCAGCAAUAUUUGUAGCAUCAUCAGUUUUAUGACAUGGUAUGAAAUGUGCCAUCUUAGAAAAUCUAUCAACAACCACAAACACACUAUCACGUCCCCUCCUAGUCCUUGGUAGUCCCAACACAAAAUCCAUAGAUAUAUCCUCCCAAGGAGCAUUAGGAACAGGAAGAGGUAAAUACAAACCAUGGGGAUUUAACCGUGACUUUGCCUUUUGACAUGUUGUGCAACGAGCAACAAACCUCUCCACAUCUCUCUUCAUCCUUGGCCAAAAGAAAUGACCAGCAAGUAUGUCCUCGGUCUUCUUUGCUCCAAAAUGUCCCAUCAAGCCACCUCCAUGCGCUUCCUGCAACAACAACAAAUGAACAAAGCUAGCUGGAAUGCAUAGCUUGUUAGCUCUAAACACAAACCCAUCACUAACGAUGAAUUUAUUCCACCCUUUUCCAUCUUUACAAUGCAGCAACACGUCUCUAAAAUCAGCAUCAUGAACAUAUUGGUCUUUAAUUGUUUCUAACCCAAAUAUCUUGUAAUCAAGUUGAUUCAGCAAAGUAUAUCUCCGUGAUAAAGCAUCAGCAAUAAUAUUUUCCUUCCCUUUCUUGUGCUUAAUAAUAUAAGGAAAAGAUUCAAUAAAUUCAACCCAUUUUGCAUGCCUACGAUUCAGUUUUCCUUGACUACGAAUAUGUUUCAAAAAUUCAUGAUCAGAAUGGAUAAUAAACUCUUUGGACCACAAAUAAUGCUGCCAUGUCUCUAAUGUUCUAACAAGAGCAUAGAGUUCUUUAUCAUAAGUUGAAUAAUUAAGAACAGGCCCACUCAAUUUCUCACUAAAAUAUGCAAUAGGUUUUCCCUCUUGUAAUAAAACACCUCCCAAACCAAUUCCACUAGCAUCACAUUGAGGCUCAAAAGUCUUAUUAAAAUCAGGAAGUUGUAGGAGAGGUGCAUGAGUUAACUUAUCUUUCAACAUGUUGAAUGAAUUCUCUUGUGCUUUGCCCCAAUCAAAAGGCACCCCCUUCUUUGUAAGCUCAUUCAAUGGUGCAGCAAUGGUGCUGAAAUCCUUCACAAAACGGCGAUAGAAUCCAGCAAGUCCUAGGAAACUCUGCACCUGGGUGAUAGUAUUUGGGACCGGCCAUCCCUGUAUAGCUUCCACCUUGGCUUGAUCAACCUCAAUUCCCUGUGGAGUCACAACAUAACCAAGAAAAGACACUCGAUCGGUGCAAAAGGUGCACUUCUCAAGGUUACCAAAUAAACGUGUCUCGCGUAGUGCAUUAAAAACAACACGUAAAUGAUCAAGAUGUUCAUCCAAUGAUUUGCUAUAAAUCAAUAUGUCAUCAAAAUAUACGACAACAAAUUUCCCAAUGAAAGCACGCAAAACCUCGUUCAUUAAUCUCAUGAAAGUACUAGGUGCAUUAGUUAACCCAAAAGGCAUGACUAACCACUCAUACAAACCGAACUUAGUUUUGAAAGCAGUUUUCCAUUCAUCUCCCAAUUUCAUACGAAUCUGGUGGUACCCACUACGUAAAUCAACUUUUGAAAACACAACAGCACCACUCAGCUCAUCUAGCAUAUCAUCUAAUCGUGGAAUAGGGUGUUGAUAUCGAAUGGUGAUAUUAUUAAUAGCUCUACAAUCAACACACAUACGCCAUGUUCCAUCUUUCUUAGGCACUAAAAUUACUGGAACAGCACAAGGACUAAGAGAUUCUCGGACAUAACCUUUGUCUAGUAGUUCUUGUACUUGUCGCUGAAUUUCCUUUGUUUCCUCCGGGUUUGUCCUGUAUGAUGCAUGAUUUGGCAAAACUGCUCCAGGAAUAAGAUCAAUUUGGUGCUCAAUCCCACGUAGUGGAGGCAGCCCCGCUGGUACCUCACUUGGAAACACAUCAGAAUACUCCUGCAAAAUGUUAGCAACAGCAUGGGGCAAAGAACAUUGCAUAUCCUCAAUUGAAAUCAAAGCAUCCUUGCAUAUCAAAGCAUAAGCAACAGAAGUGGAUGCAUUGAACUCAUUAAUAUCUGAUUUGGUAGCUAUCAUACAACGUCCUUUCAGUUUUAUCUCAUCUUUGUUACCAAUUACAGAUUUAUCAUUUUUAUUGCUCUCGCUCUUUGCUUUAGUAGCCCUAGCAACAUCAAUUUGCAUAAUAGUUUCAGGGGACAUAGGAUGCAACACAAUUUUGCGAUCAUGGUAUAGAAAAGAAUACUGAUUUGAUAUACCAUGAUGCAUAGAAUCUCUAUCAAAUUGCCAAGGUCUACCUAGCAGAAUGUUACAAGCUUGCAUAGGCACAACAUCACAUUCAACAAUAUCUUUGUAGGAUCCGAUGGAAAAAUUAAUUCUCACAAGUCUAGUUACCUUUGCCUUACCACUGUUGUUCAGCCAUUGGAUGUAGUAGGGAUGCGGGUGUGGUUUGGUGUUGAGGGCAAGCUUCUGCACCAUAUCGCUGCUUGCCAAGUUGUUGCAGCUACCUCCAUCAAUGAUCAUGCGACAAGAACGCUCUUUGAUGAUACACUUUGUUUGGAAUAAAAUGUGUCGCUGAUUUUGCUCCGCCAUCUCCAUUUGUGCACUAAGCACUCGAUGCACGAUCAAGCUCUCAUAGUGGUCCGCUUCACCUGCAUUAAUAUGUUCUUCUAUUGGAUCUUCAUUACCUGCAUGGUCAGUCGCAAGCAGUGCAAGUGUAUCCUCAUCAAAAUCACUAGCAGAUGAGUACUCACCAUCAUCCCUGACAAUCAUAACUCGCUUGUUUGGACAGUCACGCAUCAUGUGCCCAUAUCCCUUGCACCGGUGACAUUGUAUGUUGCUUGUUCUACCUGUCGAUGCCACGGAUGAAGUACUCGAAGCAGGCUUUUGCAUCGUCUUCGCAACUGAAUUGGUGGGGGCAUCUCGAGUCUUGUUACUAGAUGAUGGAGUAGAAAUACGUGUAGAUGGAGUUGAAGCCAUGCGUUGCUGCCAUGAAUUAGCCUUCCCUGCAGAAAUAUUACUCCUUACGCUAGCACGUCGUCCCUGCACUUCCCUUUUAGCUUUACAAGCAAGAUGAAACAAAUGGGUUACAUUAUUGUAUUCUUUGUAAGCGAGGAUGUCCUGAAUUUCCCGAUUUAACCCACCCAAAAAUCUAGCCAUAGCCGGUUCCUCAUCCUCCUCUAGGUUACAACGCAACAUACCCGUUUGUAAUUCCUGAUAAUAUUCUUCUACACUUUUAGCACCUUGUCUUAAUUGCUGCAACUUAUUUAUCAUAUCACGCGCACAGUAAGAUGGAACAAAUCUAGCUCUCAUGGCCCUUUUCAGCGCAUCCCAAGUUCUAGGUAAGUUAUUAGGAUUUUUCUUUCCAUAUUCUAUCCACCAAACAGAAGCAAAAUAUGUAAAUUCACUAGUAGCAGCCCUAACACGUGUAGUCUCAGGAAAUUCAUGAUAUGCAAACUUUUGAUCAACUGCAAUCUGCCAAGUGAUGUAAGCAUCAGGGUCAUAUUUACCAUCAAAAGGAGGUAUCUUAAAUUUAAUCUUACUGAAAGCAUCAUCAUUAUUGUGUACCUCGCGUCGGCGGUUGCCACCCAUACCUCUACGGUUGUGACGAAGGCGACGUCGAUCACGAGUGUCUUGAUCAUCAUGUUCAGUAUCACCAGUGUAGUCAUCUUCAUGACUACCGUGCUCUCGAUCUCCCUCCUUUUCUUCUUUAUGCUUCUCUUUAUCUUCGGUGUGGAAAUCAUCAAAUCGCCUUAGGAGAGCAGCAAGGCUUUUGUCCACACUAGCAACGGAUUCCUCCAAACUUGUGAGCUUGUUGUUUGUGGCAAUCUGCGUAGCCUCCAACUGCCCCAGCUUUUCAUUUGUCACCUGCAAGUCGUUAUCAAGUCCCUCUGUGUGCAGCUUCACUUUCCUUUCAAAAUGUUGUAUGAUGCCCUUAGUGCGAGGUGUAUGUGGUGUUUCGUUACCAUCAUCUGCCCCUGGCAUGGUUCAAAGACAAAGACAACAAAAAGGCAAGUGAAGAAAUAAAAGCUCUACAACUACUAGGAUGUAGCUACAGCAAGUCGCUCACACUCAAAAGCUCUACAACUACUAGGAUGUAGCUACAACAAGUCGCUCACACUCAACCUGUAACACAAGUUCUUACCAAUUCUUACCUUGCUUGACAGGAGGGGUCGUCUGCCAUCAAGUGUACAGCAAUGGACGAAGUGUAUCGGUGCUGCAGCACAAGACCUGUCAAGCUGUAGAGUAUGUGGAGCUAUAGGUGGGCUGAAACAAGGAACGAACUAGCACCACGUUAGUUAUAAAAGCGAGCUGAAUAAGCGUUCGACGAUGGUACUGUGCUGGUCCUAGGCUAAGACCGUGCUAGAGACGCGAGCCUGGACACAAAGGAAAACCACAGCACACCCCCAAAAACAAGGUGGAACAAACCUAAAAUCAAUAUGAAAAACAGCCCCUUUUUUUUCUUUUGAAUCUUUUCUCUUUUCUUUUUUUUUGGGCAACCUCAAAAACUGAUUAUAUGAACAAAAGAAUACAAAAGAGCAAUUCGCUACACACACUUUUUACUCUCUCUCUCUCUCUAGAGUAAGGCCGAACAAGUAUGGAGUUAUCUUUCUUUUUGGAUCACGGAAGGACUCACAUAGACGGAGUUCAGGCUAUAUUAACAAGUGGACUCCAAGUUCUAUUCGGUUUCCACUCAGAACCAACCACAAAACGGAUUCCACCUAUUGCCGAGUUCUACUCGGUUUCCUUCUUUUUUUUAUCACGUUGGUGGAACUCAGAUUGGAACUCUACUCGAUCCGGACCAAGACCACAGUUCAAUUCGGACUUCGCAACAGAUUCGAUAGAGAGAAGAUAUGGUAAUACUCGGUUGUGUAUAGAUGGUGACAAGAACUCAAAACUCUAAAGGACUAGACACUAAGACCAGCAACUCGACACGAACCGAAGCAAUGCAAAUUCAACAAGCCCUAACUAAAACGGUACUAGCCAAGGCACAGAGGUUUAAUAGGAUUAUGGAAAAACUAAUCUACUAUAUUUUUUUGGCUUUUCUGGACUAUAGGAAAUUAGUUAAAAACAGCAAAGGAUUAGAAGUCUCUCACCGAAGAACCUUGUUCUGAUUACCAACUGAAUCUGAAUCAACAAUGGGGUUCUGAAGACAAGGAGACGGGCGGCUGAUCCUGCACGCGCGCCUACAAGCAAGUAGCGAAGGCUAAACUUGAUCUAAA
RNAcentral lists this long non-coding RNA (12733 nucleotides) under Sorghum bicolor (sorghum). Its description in RNAcentral is "long non-coding RNA (SBIC_LNC018447)". Lineage: Eukaryota; Viridiplantae; Streptophyta; Magnoliopsida; Poales; Poaceae. The record is from RNAcentral.